Molecule: ribosomal RNA, 398 nt
Filed under: uncultured bacterium
Lineage: Bacteria
Description: partial 16S ribosomal RNA
Rfam family: Bacterial small subunit ribosomal RNA
Source: RNAcentral
AUACGUAGGGUGCGAGCGUUGUCCGGAAUUACUGGGCGUAAAGAGCUCGUAGGUGGUUUGUCGCGUCGUCUGUGAAAUUCCGGGGCUUAACUCCGGGCGUGCAGGCGAUACGGGCAUAACUUGGGUACUGUAGGGGAGACUGGAAUUCCUGGUGUAGCGGUGAAAUGCGCAGAUAUCAGGAGGAACACCGGUGGCGAAGGGGGGUCUCUGGGCAGUAACUGACGCUGAGGAGCGAAAGCAUGGGUAGCGAACAGGAUUAGAUACCCUGGUAGUCCAUGCCGUAAACGGUGGGCGCUAGGUGUAGGGGUCUUCCACGACUUCUGUGCCGUAGCUAACGCAUUAAGCGCCCCGCCUGGGGAGUACGGCCGCAAGGCUAAAACUCAAAUGAAUUGACGGGG